GAUGAACGCUAGCGGCAGGCUUAACACAUGCAAGUCGAGGGGCAGCACGGACUUCGGUCUGGUGGCGACCGGCAAACGGGUGCGGAACACGUACACAAUCUACCUUUAUCUGGGGUAUAGCCCGAAGAAAUUCGGAUUAAUCCCCCAUAAUAUAUUAGAGUGGCAUCACUUCGAUAUUAAAACUCCGGUGGAUAAAGAUGAGUGUGCGUCCCAUUAGCUAGUUGGUAGGGUAACGGCCUACCAAGGCAACGAUGGGUAGCUGGUGUGAGAGCACGACCAGCCACACGGGCACUGAGACACGGGCCCGACUCCUACGGGAGGCAGCAGUGAGGAAUAUUGUUCAAUGGACUCAAGUCUGAACCAGCCAUGCCGCGUGAAGGAUGAAGGCCUUCUUGGUUGUAAACUUCUUUUAUUGGGGAAGAAAAUUACGGUUUCUACUGUAACCGACGGUACCCAAGGAAUAAGCACCGGCUAACUCCGUGCCAGCAGCCGCCGUAA
RNAcentral lists this ribosomal RNA (498 nucleotides) under uncultured bacterium. Its description in RNAcentral is "partial 16S ribosomal RNA". It matches the Rfam family "Bacterial small subunit ribosomal RNA", at positions 28 to 523 of the family's 1533-position model. The record is from RNAcentral.